RNAcentral lists this ribosomal RNA (457 nucleotides) under uncultured bacterium. RNAcentral's name for it is "partial 16S ribosomal RNA". It matches the Rfam family "Bacterial small subunit ribosomal RNA", at positions 338 to 795 of the family's 1533-position model. The record is from RNAcentral.
CCUACGGGUGGCAGCAGUGGGGAAUAUUGCACAAUGGGGGAAACCCUGAUGCAGCGACGCCGCGUGAGUGAAGAGGUAUUUCGGUAUGUAAAGCUCUAUCAGCAGGGAAGAAACCCACCCUCCGGGGUGGCUGACGGUACCUGACUAAGAAGCCCCGGCUAACUACGUUCCAGCAGCCGCGGUCAUACGUAGGGGGCAAGCGUUAUCCGGAUUUACUGGGUGUAAGGGGAGCGUAGGUGGCAAGGCAAGUCAGAUGUGAAAGCCCGGGGCCCAACCCCGGGAGUGCAUUGGAAACUGUCUGGCUAGAGUGCAGGAGAGGUAAGUGGAAUUCCUAGUGUAGCGGUGAAAUGCAUAGAUAUUAGGAGGAACACCAGUGGCGAAGGCGGCUUACUGGACUGUAACUGACACUGAGGCUCGAAAGCGUGGGGAGCAAACAGGAUUAGAUACCCCAGUAGUC